GACGAACGCUGGCGGCGUGCUUAACACAUGCAAGUCGAACGGAAAGGCCCUGCUUUUGUGGGGUGCUCGAGUGGCGAACGGGUGAGUAACACGUGAGUAACCUGCCCUUGACUUUGGGAUAACUUCAGGAAACUGGGGCUAAUACCGGAUAGGAGCUCCUGCUGCAUGGUGGGGGUUGGAAAGUGUCGGCGGGUGGGGAUGGACUCGCGGCUUAUCAGCUUGUUGGUGGGGUAGUGGCUUACCAAGGCUUUGACGGGUAGCCGGCCUGGGAGGGUGACCGGCGACAUUGGGACUGAGAUACGGACCAGAGUCCUACGGGAGGCAGCAGUGGGGAAUAUUGCACAAUGGGCGGAAGCCUGAGGCAGCAACGCCGCGUGCGGGAUGACGGCCUUCGGGUUGUAAACCGCUUUCGCCUGUGACGAAGCGUGAGUGACGGUAAUGGGUAAAGAAGCACCGGCUAACUACGUG
RNAcentral lists this ribosomal RNA (468 nucleotides) under uncultured bacterium. RNAcentral's name for it is "partial 16S ribosomal RNA". It matches the Rfam family "Bacterial small subunit ribosomal RNA", at positions 28 to 507 of the family's 1533-position model. The record is from RNAcentral.